AGAGUUUGAUCAUGGCUCAGAGCGAACGCUGGCGGCGUGCUUAACACAUGCAAGUCGAACGAGGUUUGUAGCAAUACAAAUACUCGUGGCGAACGGGUGCGUAACACGUGGAUAACCUUCCUUCAGGUGGGGAAUAACCCAGUGAAAAUUGGGCUAAUACCCGCAUAACAUCGCGAUGGCACAUGCUGUUGCGUCCAAAGCCGCAAGGCGCCAGAAGAGGGAUCCGCGGCCGAUUAGCUUGUUGGCGAGGUAAUGGCUCACCAAGGCUUUGAUCGGUAUCCGGACUGAGAGGUUGGCCGGACACACUGGAACUGAGACACGGUCCAGACUCCUACGGGAGGCAGCAGUGGGGAAUCUUGCACAAUGGACGAAAGUCUGAUGCAGCAACGCCGCGUGGGGGAUGAAGCUUCUCGGAGUGUAGACCCCUUUCGACCUGGACGAAUGCCCGCAAGGGUUUGACGGUACAGGUAUAAGAAGCCCCGGCUAACUACGUGCCAGCAGCCGCGGUAAUACGUAGGGGGCCAGCGUUGCUCGGAAUUACUGGGCGUAAAGGGUCCGUAGGCGGUGUGGUAAGUCGAUAGUGAAAUCUCUGGGCUUAACCCAGAGGCUGCUAACGAAACUACCAUGCUAGAGUGUGAGAGAGGCGAGUGGAAUUACGGGUGUAGCGGAAAUGCGUAGAUAUCCGUAGGAACAUCCGAGGCGAAAGCGGCUCGCUGGAUCACAACUGACGCUGAGGGACGAAAGCUAGGGGAGCAAACAGGAUUAGAUACCCUAGUAGUCC
Molecule: ribosomal RNA, 781 nt
Filed under: uncultured bacterium
Lineage: Bacteria
Description: bacterial SSU rRNA
Rfam family: Bacterial small subunit ribosomal RNA
Source: RNAcentral